Non-coding RNA from Schistosoma mansoni, 45 nucleotides. NCBI's taxonomy places the organism in Eukaryota, Metazoa, Platyhelminthes, Trematoda, Strigeidida, Schistosomatidae. The record is from Rfam.
AUCCGACUGACCAGUCCCAUAUAGGACGAAACGUGCUUCCUGCAA